UCGACCCCGGCGUUUACACCAUCGAGUUUUAUCGAUUGUAAGUCGAUUGUCGCUGUAUGGUUCUUCCGGUACAGGUCCAUGUGUUUGUAACACGUUGUUCAAUACUAGGACGGAGCGAAGGCUGUUGGAGGAAUUUAUUUUGUGACUGAAAAUGGCGAAGUCAAAGAAUCACACGAAUCAUAAUCAAAGUA
Long non-coding RNA from Schistocerca gregaria, 191 nucleotides. RefSeq lists it as uncharacterized. The record is from RefSeq and is a predicted model, not a curated record. Lineage: Eukaryota; Metazoa; Arthropoda; Insecta; Orthoptera; Acrididae. The transcript has 2 exons.